GGUGGCAUCCCUUGUUGGGACAGAAGCAGCACGGUGUGCAGCCGAUGCUCAGGCCGGGCAGGAGUCUCCGUGGGUGACAGAGCAUGUGGGUGGCUACGGGCUGGCUCCAGUCUCUCUCUCAGCCUGUGCUGUGUGACAUCGUGACACUGUAGAGUCAUCCGGAACAUUGGAAACGAGCGCAGCACUACAGGAGCCUGAGGCAAACGAUCACAUCAGGACGUGAUGGGAGUCAGAUAAAACACCCAGAAGUGGAGUGUAAGGUGAAGAGGCUGUGCUUACAAGCGCCAUGGAACUGUUGAACAGGCGCUGUUUGAGGAGAGCACAGUUGAGGAGCGAGGGCUGCAUGUGUCCACACGCAUCUCUGCAGUUUCUGCUUCUGCUUCGGUGAUCUUGGGAAAGUCACUUGACUUCCCCAAGCCUUAGUUUCCCCAUUUAUAAAAUAGGAAUGACAAUGAAAGUCUAAUGACAUAGUGGACUUGAAAGCACAUGGUAAAUUGUAAAGUAAUGCCAGUGGUGAAAAAAUGUUAUAUCAUUCAUGUUUUAAUAAAUGCUAAAAAUGACGAAA
Equus caballus (horse) is the source of this 565-nucleotide non-coding RNA. The record is from RefSeq and is a predicted model, not a curated record. Lineage: Eukaryota; Metazoa; Chordata; Mammalia; Perissodactyla; Equidae.